AAUCAACGCUGGCGGCGUGCCUAACACAUGCAAGUCGAACGCGAAAGCCCCGCAAGGGGUAAGUAGAGUGGCAAACGGGUGAGUAACACGUGGGUGACCUGCCUUCGAGUGGGGGAUAACGUCCCGAAAGGGACGCUAAUACCGCAUGACAUCCUGCUUUUGAAAAAGCGGAGAUCAAAGCUGGGGAUCGCAAGACCUAGCGCUUGAAGAGGGGCCCGCGCCUGAUUAGCUAGUUGGUGAGGUAACGGCUCACCAAGGCGACGAUCAGUAUCCGGCCUGAGAGGGCGGACGGACACACUGGGACUGAGACACGGCCCAGACUCCUACGGGAGGCAGCAGUGGGGAAUUGUUCGCAAUGGGCGCAAGCCUGACGACGCAACGCCGCGUGGAGGACGAAGAUCUUCGGGUCGUAAACUCCGGUCGAGCGGGACGAACGCUUCGCGGAUGAAUAAUCCGCGGAAUUGACGGUACCGCUAAAGGAAGCCCCGGCUAACUCCGUG
RNAcentral lists this ribosomal RNA (500 nucleotides) under uncultured bacterium. RNAcentral's name for it is "partial 16S ribosomal RNA". It matches the Rfam family "Bacterial small subunit ribosomal RNA", at positions 29 to 507 of the family's 1533-position model. The record is from RNAcentral.